CAUUUAAAGAGUGCGUAAUAGCUCACUAGUCGAGUGACACUGCGCCGAAAAUGUACCGGGGCUAAACAUAUUACCGAAGCUGUGGAUUGUCCUUUGGACAAUGGUAGGAGAGCGUUCUAAGGGCGUUGAAGCAUGAUCGUAAGGACAUGUGGAGCGCUUAGAAGUGAGAAUGCCGGUGUGAGUAGCGAAAGACGGGUGAGAAUCCCGUCCACCGAUUGACUAAGGUUUCCAGAGGAAGGCUCGUCCGCUCUGGGUUAGUCGGGUCCUAAGCUGAGGCCGACAGGCGUAGGCGAUGGAUAACAGGUUGAUAUUCCUGUACCACCUAUAAUCGUUUUAAUCGAUGGGGGGACGCAGUAGGAUAGGCGAAGCGUGCGAUUGGAUUGCACGUCUAAGCAGUAAGGCUGAGUAUUAGGCAAAUCCGGUACUCGUUAAGGCUGAGCUGUGAUGGGGAGAAGACAUUGUGUCUUCGAGUCGUUGAUUUCACACUGCCGAGAAAAGCCUCUAGAUAGAAAAUAGGUGCCCGUACCGCAAACCGACACAGGUAGUCAAGAUGAGAAUUCUAAGGUGAGCGAGCGAACUCUCGUUAAGGAACUCGGCAAAAUGACCCCGUAACUUCGGGAGAAGGGGUGCUCUUUAGGGUUAACGCCCAGAAGAGCCGCAGUGAAUAGGCCCAAGCGACUGUUUAUCAAAAACACAGGUCUCUGCUAA
Molecule: ribosomal RNA, 708 nt
Filed under: Staphylococcus aureus
Lineage: Bacteria; Bacillati; Bacillota; Bacilli; Caryophanales; Staphylococcaceae
Description: bacterial LSU rRNA
Rfam family: Bacterial large subunit ribosomal RNA
Source: RNAcentral